RNAcentral lists this ribosomal RNA (551 nucleotides) under uncultured bacterium. RNAcentral's name for it is "partial 16S ribosomal RNA". It matches the Rfam family "Bacterial small subunit ribosomal RNA", at positions 355 to 899 of the family's 1533-position model. The record is from RNAcentral.
UGGGGAAUUUUGGACAAUGGGCGAAAGCCUGAUCCAGCAAUGCCGCGUGUGUGAAGAAGGCCUUCGGGUUGUAAAGCACUUUUGUCCGGAAAGAAAUCCUUGGCUCUAAUACAGUCGGGGGAUGACGGUACCGGAAGAAUAAGCACCGGCUAACUACGUGCCAGCAGCCGCGGUAAUACGUAGGGUGCAAGCGUUAAUCGGAAUUACUGGGCGUAAAGCGUGCGCAGGCGGUUUGCUAAGACCGAUGUGAAAUCCCCGGGCUCAACCUGGGAACUGCAUUGGUGACUGGCAGGCUAGAGUAUGGCAGAGGGGGGUAGAAUUCCACGUGUAGCAGUGAAAUGCGUAGAGAUGUGGAGGAAUACCGAUGGCGAAGGCAGCCCCCUGGGCCAAUACUGACGCUCAUGCACGAAAGCGUGGGGAGCAAACAGGAUUAGAUACCCUGGUAGUCCACGCCCUAAACGAUGUCAACUAGUUGUUGGGGAUUCAUUUCCUUAGUAACGUAGCUAACGCGUGAAGUUGACCGCCUGGGGAGUACGGUCGCAAGGCUAAAA